CUGGAACGGUGGCUAAUACCCCAUAAGCCGAGAGGUAAAAAGGAAUCCGCCUGUGGAGGAGCUCGCGUCUGAUUAGCUAGUAGGUGAGGUAAGAGCUUACCUAGGCGACGAUCAGUAGCUGGUCUGAGAGGAUGAGCAGCCACACUGGGACUGAGACACGGCCCAUACUCCUACGGGAGGCAGCAGUGGGGAAUUUUCCGCAAUGGGCGAAAGCCUGACGGAGCCAGACCGCGUGAGGGAAGAAGGCCUUUGGGUUGUAAACCUCUUUUCUCAGGGAAGAAGAAAGUGACGGUACCUGAGGAAUCAUCCUCGGCUAACUCCGUGCCAGCAGCCGCGGUAAGACGGAGGAGGCAAGCGUUAUCCGGAAUUAUUGGGCGUAAAGCGUCCGUAGGUGGUGAUUCAAGUCUGCUGUCAAAACCCAGGGCUUAACUCUGGCUCGGCAGUGGAAACUGAAUGACUAAAGUGCGGCAGGGGCAGAGGGAAUUCCCGGUGUAGCGGUGAAAUGCGUAGAGAUCGGGAAGAACACCGGUGGCGAAAGCGCUCUGCUGGGCCGCGACUGACACUCACAGGACGAAAGCUAGGGGAGCGAAUGGGAUUAGA
Molecule: ribosomal RNA, 600 nt
Filed under: Klisinema persicum
Lineage: Bacteria; Bacillati; Cyanobacteriota; Cyanophyceae; Desertifilales; Desertifilaceae
Description: bacterial SSU rRNA
Rfam family: Bacterial small subunit ribosomal RNA
Source: RNAcentral